UGAUACAACGAUACCACCUUGAACACACUAGAUCUCAUCUGAUUUUGAAAGCUAUGCAGGGUCAGGCUAGGUAACUAAUUAGGUGGGAGAGACUAGAUUAAUGCUUACAUAUAAG
RNAcentral lists this ribosomal RNA (115 nucleotides) under Pogona vitticeps (central bearded dragon). Lineage: Eukaryota; Metazoa; Chordata; Lepidosauria; Squamata; Agamidae. The record is from RNAcentral.